Molecule: long non-coding RNA, 4954 nt
Filed under: Sorghum bicolor (sorghum)
Lineage: Eukaryota; Viridiplantae; Streptophyta; Magnoliopsida; Poales; Poaceae
Description: long non-coding RNA (SBIC_LNC009736)
Source: RNAcentral
GGUAGCCACCACCCUUCACAGCAAAGCGGACGGAGAGGGGUCCCUUGAGUGGUGCCUUGCUGUCUUGUGUAAAGGUCUUGGCUGGUGACUCCUUCAUGUCAUCCAAAAAUUCCGCGGCGCCCUUUUCUCUGAUGGCCAGCUCAUGGAUGGGGAGGUUGGCGACAAGGACUAGGUGGGUGUACGUGGGGGUAGUGCCCUUGCCGACCGUCAAGGUCACACUGUUGCCGCACAAUCCAACAGCAAACAAUGCUGCCAGCGCUGCCAUGGCCAGCAGGAAGGAGGACGAGGAUGCCAUUGGUGACCUAAUAACUCAGUAGGAGUAACUUACCAUAUUUCCUGAUGGAUCGAGAGGGUGGGAGGUAGGGAUAUGUGUGGUGAUUGUUGUUGCGGAUUAUUACAUCAGCUGGCUGCGUAUUUAUGGGCUGUGUAGGCAAGAAGACAUGCCACAAAGAUCUCUGCCUGGCCGGCUUGUUUGUUGACGAAUACUUGUUCAAUUGCCACAAAUAGAUGUGUGUUCAGUAGUCCAGCUUGUCUUGCUUUCAGGCAAAAGAAGCGCAGGACAUGCAGAUCUCUCAUAAAGCAUUGGCCAUGCAACCCCCACAUCGUGACACCGUGACCUACUAUUUUGAGUAAAAUACAGAAAAAGUCACACCGUGACCUACUUAAACAAAUUUAAUACUCUUUAUACCUUCAAAUAUAAGAGAUUACAUAUUCAAAAUUUGUUAUGUUUGACCACUAUUAUUAGUCUAAUCUACUGUUAGAAUUCAGGACCAAACAGUGUGGACAUGAGAGUUGUUUAACAUCUCUAACAUGAAAUCCGCCUUGUAAGAUGAACAUGAACAACGUGUAUCCAAAUAGGGUUAAAUAGUACGUAGUGGUGACCGGCUUCUCUUGAUGUCUGGGUGAUUUUGAGGGAUCAUGACGCUAUUACUCGUAUUUACUAUAUUUGGUGCAGCGCCACCACGAUUGUAGGACUCCAUAAAAUAAGGUUCAAAUAUAUAACAUUUUAAAAAUAAAUGAUUAUCGUAACAGCUGUACGAAAGCUUCGUCGUCCCUUGAAUGUGAUUUUUCUGCUCGAUGAGUGUAGAAGUGAAAGACUAUCGAUAUACAUAUUAUGGGAAUACCCCUUCAGACUUUAUGUGUAUAUUUGAGCACAGUGGCGGACUCAGGCCCCGGGUGCCCGUGCUGCAUGCAGCCCGUGUCGUUGACCGAAAAACCACUGGUAAAUCAUCUAAACAAUGAAAUAUUAAGAGUCUAAAUUCUAUAGUUGUGGAAAUUUCAUGUGUUAUUAGCCCGGAUCCUAGUGUGAUCUUGGAUCCACCCCUGUUCGUGCGGAAAGCAGAUUAUUCACUAAAGCGUAGACUGUUUCUAGAGACGGCAAGGAAGGCUCUAUAUAAGUGGCUUGCAAUAAAAUACAACUAUGCAAAUCUGAUUUCCAGCCAAAGCUCAGAAUCUAUACACCCUUAGAAAUACAAUCGCAGAUUUCACAAAUCUCAUGAAAGAAAAGCAAGCAUCAUUUUUCGUAAAUCUGAAAAGUCCCGCCAGCCAAUCACAACUCACUAGUACAGAACAGACUUUCGGUUUUAGGUUUCAGUCCCGGUCACUUUUAGACCCGAGACUAAAGAAAGUAUUAGUCCUGGUUGGAGCUUCCAUCUCAUACUAAAGUCCCCUGCCAACAGAUAGAGCAGCGGGCUUUUUCAGCAUAGACAUUUAGUUCUGAUUUGUGGAUCAAAACGGGACUAAAUGCCGCCUUCCAAUCCUGGGUGGUUCGAAAUAAUGGAACCAAAGGUUUUUAUCUCGGUUUGUGGCUUCAACCGGGACUAGAGGUUGAUCCAUCGGUUCUAGUAGGCUCAUCUAGGACUAAACUGUCCCCACUAUAUAUAGCCGCUUCCACAGUCCCCAACCCGAGACAGUUUCAAUUCUUGAGUCUUUUGCCUGUGUGCAUGUUCACCGGUUGUUCUUGCUUGGGGGAGCAAGUUCUUACUCCAGGCCGCCGGCUUCAGCAUUACCUUGAUUUCAUCGAUUCCUAAAUGCACCCAUGCCUGUUUUAUUAUUGUGGAGCCUCCUUCACAUAUGGUUGGCAUUGGUCUGCCUCUCAUCAACAAAACCAUCAGAACCGUAAAUGGUAUCAUCGUCAUCCUCACCAUCAUAUCCUUUGUUCUCGUCUGCUUUCGAAGGAGCAACCCUCCUAGCUGUUGAACCCUCCCUGUCAUUGUGGACAUUUGCUUUUCCACUCUCAAUUUGGUGGCUGACGCUUCUGAUCUCAUUGCUUAUUACGGUCACCAGUUGUAGAAUGAAAACCUUCAGCUCCUGCAAAUAACAUUUCAAUGCAGGCUCGUUGGUAGGCAUGGUUACUUACAAAACAAAACUCCCUAUGUACACUGAACUUCUAGUAGUGAUCAUAUGGUAGUUCUAAUUGGCAUGAGGAAGCUGCUUAUUGCAUUAAAUCAUCUGCAAAAAAGCUAGUCAAUUUGGAUAUAAUUUUAUAAUGUGAAUGUGAAAUUUUAAAUUGAGAGAACACUGAAUUUUAAUGUGAACUCGUAUGUUCUAUGCAAAUUUAUAUACGUUCAUUUAAUGCAAACCCAUGGGUUUUAUAAUUUGUGGGUGUAAUUAGUUAGUGGAUUGAAAUGGUUUGGGUUAAAACUAUUGAAACGUGGAGUGGGGUAGAGUACAAGGACUAAUUACUAGUUAGCUAAAAAUUAGCUCUAGUACAUCUAAACAGGUGGACUAUUUUACAUAAGUCAUCAAAUGGAUCAUGACAUACUGCUGCGUAAGUUAUUUUGUCUUUUUUAUUUUCCCUUUUUUAUUAUCUUUAAUUAUAUUUGCCUCUAUAACCAAUGCAAGCAUUGCCGGUUGGGUUGCUUUCCCAUCUAUAUCUUUAUACACAUAUAUAGCAAAACACCACGAGCCGUUUUGUCUCUUCUUAUGGGCUCAUUUGGCUGCACACAAAUUGAUCCGAAUCCACGUAGUUUGGGAGGGAUUGAGGUGGAAGUUAGUUUAAAUUCCACCUCAAUCCCAUUCAAACCGGGUGUAUUUGUGUGCAGCCAAACAAAACCUAAGGUAUUCACAUCAUUCUCCACUAACUGACCUCACUAGAUGUUCUAUUUCUUCAUGCAAUGUAUCGACAUCAUUCCCAACUAUAUGUCCCAGUAACUAGCAUUCCUUUUAUGCAAGCUUUCUAUCUCUUUACCUGGAGAUCAUGUACGCCGAUGCACAGACGACAUAGGAAGGGACCCUGCCCUCCCGUUGGCCCCAUCGAACCUCCAACGGUGCUGCGGCACGCAAGCUAGCCGCGCGAACGCCGCCCUCCUCGCUGUCCUCACGGCGGCCACGCCGAUGUGUACAUCGUCAGCUGGAAGAGGACCUCUUUGUGCACAAGCUGGAGAGUGGCUGCUACUAGCCUACUACAUCGUCGGCAUGCUCGUUGAGAAGUUCCACAAGUUGCUUGUCGAGUAGAGUAAUGGAUCUUGGACAGCAUGGCCUCAUUGCGCAUGAAUGCACGAUGUCGCUGAGUGGUCGGAACUCUAGUGGAUGGCGUACAAUCUUCCGGAGCGUAGCCUCAUUUCUCUCCUUGACGAACGGCGCGUGCCACGAACCGCAUGUCGUAGUGGCCGGGAACUUGCAUGAAGGAGCUGGACCGUGCGUCCACAGACUCCGCCACGAACUCCGGCUGUGUCGUAGCCUGCACCAGAGCCAAAGUAGGCGAGAAUCUGCAGCUCUGUUACGACCCACACGGUCCCGGCAUAUCCUCCUCAUGAUUGUCAACGUUCAUUGCAUCCUCAGCAAUACCAUGAAUUCCAGCGGCUUAUUAUUAACACAACGCAUCAUAAUUUGUUGCAAUAUUUACACUUACUUGCAACCACAAUUAUAUUUAUCAUGGCCCUAACAGCUACCUCUCCCAACAGAUCUACAACUGACAUGUACAACUCAGUAGUUUAGAUGUAUUAAGAGCCACGUAUAGCAAUAACUUAUAGUCCAUGUUACAAUAGAUCCUCCUAUUCCGAUUAAAUUUGUGGUGCUGAGAAAACAAGUGUUUGGAUUAUUAGGGUAAAACUUUUGUUGUGAUUGAAUAAUUUGUGUUAAAUAAAAGAUCACAAGUACAAAUUCAAUUUUCAUGACAUUUUGGACUUGCUAAAGAAGAUAAAAAAGCCUCACUGAUUUUGACACAAACAUGUAAUGAAACUUUAGAAAAAUCAUAUAUACACAGCUGCCUUGACAAUGGUUGACUAGAUAUCUUGUGCCAUAUAAAAAUAAUAUCGUCAAUUGUGUGUAUACAUAGCUCCACAACAAUAUGCAGGAGGAGAACCUAGUAUACUUUAUUUUGCGGUAGAUUACCACAAAAUAACCACAGUAAAUGAAUUACUGGCCUGCUUAUUUAUAUCCUCAAUCUAUAUUACAAAUUAUAUAAUGGUCAAAUAAAUUCACUCAAUGCAAGACCAGAUGUGCCGAUUACUCAAAACGGGAUAUUGGUGUUGAUAACUGCGCCAGGCUUCAAUCCAACAGGGAAAAUCUCAUCCCUGUUGCGGUAGCCGCCACCCUUCACAGCAAAGCGGACGGAGAGGGGUCCCUUGAGCGGUGCCUUGCUGUCUUGUGUAAAGGUCUUGGCUGGUGACUCCUUCAUGUCGUCCAAAAAUUCCGCGGCGCCCUUUUCUCUGAUGGCCAGCUCAUGGAUGGGGAGGUUGGCGACAAGGACUAGGUGGGUAUAUGUAGGGGUAGUGCCCUUGCCGACCGUCAAGGUCACUGUGUUGCCGCACAAUCCAACUGCAAACAAUGCAGCCAGCGCGACGAGGAUGCCAUUGGUGACCUAACAACUUAGUAGGAGUAACUGAUCCUGUUUCCUAUGGAUCGAGAGAGCGGGAGAGAGGGAUAUGUGUGGUGAUUGUUGUUGCGGAUUGCAGCAGCUGGCUGCGUAUUUAUUGGCGGCGCUUAACCUAACAAUCCUAAGCUGCUCCCC